GCCUCUGUGGCUCAGUAGGUAGAGCGAAGGUUUCGUAAACCUUAGGCCGUGGGUUCGAGUCCCACCAGGGGCU
RNAcentral lists this transfer RNA (73 nucleotides) under Nitrososphaerota archaeon. RNAcentral's name for it is "Thaumarchaeota archaeon tRNA-Thr". It matches the Rfam family "tRNA". From Rfam's summary of the family: Transfer RNA (tRNA) molecules are approximately 80 nucleotides in length. Their secondary structure includes four short double-helical elements and three loops (D, anti-codon, and T loops). The record is from RNAcentral. Lineage: Archaea; Thermoproteati; Nitrososphaerota.